RNAcentral lists this unclassified non-coding RNA (274 nucleotides) under Oidiodendron sp. RNAcentral describes it as "partial contains 5.8S ribosomal RNA, internal transcribed spacer 2, and large subunit ribosomal RNA". The stretch from base 1 to 71 matches the Rfam family "5.8S ribosomal RNA", at positions 84 to 154 of the family's 154-position model. Lineage: Eukaryota; Fungi; Ascomycota; Leotiomycetes; Myxotrichaceae. The record is from RNAcentral.
GUGAGUCAUCGAAUCUUUGAACGCACAUUGCGCCCCGCGGUAUUCCACGGGGCAUGCCUGUUCGAGCGUCAUUUCAACCCUCAAGCCCGGCUUGGUGUUGGGUGCGGCCUGCGCGGCCGGCCCUAAAGACAGUGGCGGCGCCGCCCGGCCCUGAGCGCAGUACGGCUCUCGCUCCAGGGUCCCGCGGUGGCCUGCCAGAACCCCCUAACUCUGUGGUUGACCUCGGAUCAGGUAGGGAUACCCGCUGAACUUAAGCAUAUCAAUAAGCGGAGGA